CGUUGAUUUUUGUCGUAUUUGCUCCAUUAUUGCUCUGCUCCAUUAUUGCUCUGUAUCUGCUCCAUUAUUGCUCUUUAUCUUAUUUUUCCAGCUGGCAUUUUAUCUUCUUUAUUCUAGAUGUACCUCUGGAAUAAUGUUAUCUUCUCCGUUGCACCUCGAACAUUGGUGGUCUGGAUAUUUAUGUCCAAUUAUCUUACAGUAUCUUGUUAGCAGUCCGUCUGAAAUAAAUCCCUUUUUUAUUGCUCUCGCGGUAGAUUGUUUUUCUGGGUUAAGUAGCGUCAUUAUCCAUUGUCUUACGUCUUCCAUAUCUGCUUGUCGUAGCUCUUUUGAAUUUGAAUAUAUCAUUUGGUGAUCUCUUGAAUAGUAGCUCC
RNAcentral lists this long non-coding RNA (371 nucleotides) under Capsicum annuum. Its description in RNAcentral is "long non-coding RNA (CANN_LNC016831)". Lineage: Eukaryota; Viridiplantae; Streptophyta; Magnoliopsida; Solanales; Solanaceae. The record is from RNAcentral.